This is a small nuclear RNA of Talpa occidentalis (Iberian mole), 167 nucleotides long. RefSeq annotates it as U1 spliceosomal RNA. NCBI's taxonomy places the organism in Eukaryota, Metazoa, Chordata, Mammalia, Eulipotyphla, Talpidae. The transcript has a single exon. The record is from RefSeq and is a predicted model, not a curated record.
AAGCUUACCUGGCAGGGAAGAUAAACAUGAUCACAAAGGUGAUUUUCUUCCCAGGGAAAGACUUUUCCAUGGCACUCUGGAUAUGCUAACACCUGUCUUUUCCCUAAAUGUGGGAAAUACGAUUGCAUAAUUUGUGGUAGUGGGGGGACUGUGUUCAGAGUCCCCAU